GUAUUUUCAUUUUACAUACUCUGGACUCCUAAGCCCGUCCGAACCAGACCAUACGAAGUUAUCAACAAAUAUUACUGCAAAUUCAAGUUACAAUUUACUGCCACAAAACAACAUUUUUCCAAAUGUGCAUUGAUUCCAAGUGGAAUAGAAACUAGAAAGGCUCAUCAAAUUGCAAUUUGAUGUUCAUCUAACCUAUCUAUAAACAGACACUUAAAGUGCAAUUAAGUAGACCAUAGCUUGCACCAAUAGACUUCAAAAGUAGUGCAUAAAUGAGCACGCAUGAUCCUUUGAUGAAGAUUCAGGACUGUCAUCAUCUUCCUGAAUUUUUGCACCACGGCGCUUUCUUCUCAAUAUACUCAACCUACUCACAAGAACACCAGAAAACCUACCCUUCAAAGCCUUCCCUCUGUCUCUACCCGUCUCAAAACUAUCACCUUCAAACAAAGUUUCGGAUCUUACUGCUUCUUCUUCUCUUUCUCUCUUACCACUUUCUUUCCCUUUGCACCCCUCAUGCAACUGUUCUGUUUGCUGAUUACCACGACAAAGUCGACCAAAAUAGUACAAGGUUCAAUGUAGCAUGAGGAGGAAGCCACAAUGCCCUUGAGGGUGGUUGGUUUGAC
This 620-nucleotide long non-coding RNA is filed under the name Glycine max (soybean). Its description in RNAcentral is "long non-coding RNA (GMAX_LNC001355)". The record is from RNAcentral. Lineage: Eukaryota; Viridiplantae; Streptophyta; Magnoliopsida; Fabales; Fabaceae.